AGAGUUUGAUCCUGGCUCAGGAUGAACGCUGGCGGUCUGCUUAACACAUGCAAGUCGAACGGGACUCUUAGGAGUUCAGUGGCGGACGGGUGAGUAACGCGUGAGAAUCUACCUUUUGGUCGGGGACAACCACUGGAAACGGUGGCUAAUACCGGAUAAGCCUGCGGGUAAAAGAUUAAUUGCCAAGAGAGGAGCUCGCGUCUGAUUAGCUAGUUGGUGAGGUAAAGGCUCACCAAGGCGGCGAUCAGUAGCUGGUCUGAGAGGAUGAUCAGCCACACUGGGACUGAGACACGGCCCAGACUCCUACGGGAGGCAGCAGUGGGGAAUUUUCCGCAAUGGGCGAAAGCCUGACGGAGCAAGACCGCGUGAGGGAGGAAGGCUCUUGGGUUGUAAACCUCUUUUGUCAGGGAAGAACACAAUGACGGUACCUGAAGAAUCAGCAUCGGCUAACUCCGUGCCAGCAGCCGCGGUAAUACGGAGGAUGCAAGCGUUAUCCGGAAUUAUUGGGCGUAAAGCGUCCGCAGGUGGCACUUCAAGUCUGCUGUCAAAGACCGGGGCUUAACCCUGGAAAGGCAGUGGAAACUGAAGCGCUAGAGUGUGGCAGGGGUAGAGGGAAUUCCCGGUGUAGCGGUGAAAUGCGUAGAGAUCGGGAAGAACAUCGGUGGCGAAAGCGCUCUACUGGGCCACAACUGACACUCAGGGACGAAAGCUAGGGGAGCGAAUGGGAUUAGAUACCCUAGUAGUCC
This 746-nucleotide ribosomal RNA is filed under the name uncultured bacterium. Its description in RNAcentral is "bacterial SSU rRNA". It matches the Rfam family "Bacterial small subunit ribosomal RNA", at positions 8 to 796 of the family's 1533-position model. The record is from RNAcentral.